CAGUAGCCGCGGGAAUACGAAGGGGGCUAGCGUUGUUCGGAAUGACUGGGCGUAAAGGGCGCGUAGGCGGCAUAUACAGUCAGGUGUGAAAUUCCUGGGCUUAACCUGGGGGCUGCGUUUGAUACGUAUAGGCUAGAGUGGGGAAGAGGGUUGUGGAAUUCCCAGUGUAGAGGUGAAAUUCGUAGAUAUUGGGAAGAACACCGGUGGCGAAGGCGGCAACCUGGUCCUUGACUGACGCUGAGGCGCGAAAGCGCGGGGAGCAAACAGGAUUAGAUACCCCCGUAGUCCCUGUCUCUUAUAC
RNAcentral lists this ribosomal RNA (301 nucleotides) under uncultured bacterium. Its description in RNAcentral is "partial 16S ribosomal RNA". It matches the Rfam family "Bacterial small subunit ribosomal RNA", at positions 509 to 807 of the family's 1533-position model. The record is from RNAcentral.